CGAACUCCAAGGGUUAAUUUUUAAAAAAUCUCCACUUAUUCUACCUUAUACACAUUGGCUAAAAGAAAGAACACCGUUUCUCCAAGGCUCAAUCAAGGUUCGACUGAUAAAAAUUUAAAGGUAGGCUUGAAAGGCUCAAACGGUUCAAAGAUGGCCCAAAUCACUUCCCAAAUUGCUCAACGAUUUAAUAUUUCACUUUGUAAAUUCAUAAGAUAAGUUCUAAAACCGAAUAGCAUAUGAUAUAACAUAAAUUAACUCAAAUUUUAAAACACAAAACUUUCAACCAAAGCAACGCAUAAUUCGAGAUUCCUAACAAUGACUCCUUCUUACGACACUUUGAAUCAAAAGCUCACCAAAAUUCGAUCAAAAUCAAGAUAAAACAAGCAAUUUCAUCAUUAAACAUCGACCAUCUUUCAUCAUCAUGAUUCAUCGAAGCAUUUAUCUCAAGCAAUUUUUUUACUUUUUAUUUUUUAUUUAUUAUUUAUUUUUAUUUUUUUUCGAAAGCAAUAACUAAACUAAAAAAAAAAAAUUCUAAGGCAUGCAAACUAAAAAUUAAAGCACAUAAAACAAGUAAUUUUCCACCCCCAAACUUAAAAUUUACAUUGCCCUCAAUGUAAUUAACACGAAGUUUAAGGAUAGAAUACACCUGACUUAGUCGAAGGUCCUUCCAAGGGAUGCACUCUUUGAUGUUCGUUUGCUCGACCUUUAACGUCCGAUCCCUUAGUGUUUGAUUUUCGACCUGAAAAUUAAAACAAGAUUAAAUUAUUAGUUUGCGCAUGCACAAAUACUAAGAAAAAUAAAAACAAAGAAAAAUAACGAAAAUCGAUAAAUGCUCGGGUUGCCUCCCGAGGAGCGCUAAGUUUUAAGUCUUCAGCCAGACUUUCCUUCUUGAAAUUGUUAUGUCCAAUCCAAAGCCUUGUAGAUUGCGCAUCCACCCAUGAGCUCUAUCACUUCAAUUUCCACCAAGGCCUGGAUAGCAUUGCAAUAUGUUACGAUACACCUUAGCUUGUAGUCUUUUUUUGUGGUAAUCAAUCGGUACGAAGCCAAGAUAGGAUGUUCAUCGGCCGCUCCCUCAAAUCGGUAUACAAAAAUCUCCAGUCUACGUAUAACCUCCACCUCGAACACAUUAGCUUUCUCAUCGACCACUAUUGAUGUCUUCAAAUCCACAUUUAGAUCAACGACAUGGUCCACAACUAGAAUAUCUUCAAUCAUUACAUCCAUCUCCUUCUUCUCUUGUUCUGAGGUACCUUCGUGGUUUAGCUCGAUUGCCUUCUCAGAUUCAUCAUGUUCAAGUGUCUUCGUAAUUUCUAUUUCUCGCAUAUCGACACUAUUUUCUGGACAUGGAAAUUGUUUCUCACCGCAGACUUCACCCAAAUUUUCUUUGAUAUAACCAUUGCCGAUUUCGUCUGGAAUAUUUUCAAGCGACUCAGAUUUUAAUUUGAGUGUCAUCUCUUCCAAUUGUAUCUCCAUGUUUCGAAAUGAUGCUUGAGUGGACUUCAUGAAUUCGCCAAUGAUGGAUACCAAAUCAGGUUGGUCAUCAGUGGUCUGCUGCUGCUGCAUUGGAUAAUAAUUUUGAAAAUCAUCAAAUUGUGGCUCUCUAUGUUGAAACUCGUUCAAAUCUUGAUCUUGAAAGCUUUGCUCGUAUAAGUUGUGGGUGUAAGUGUUCCGAUAACCUCCGUUGGUAAUUUCGUCGAAAUUCGUCGCUAUUGGUGAUACCCAACAUUGAUCGGAAUAAUGAUUUCCACCACAAGCUGAACAAAACGGAGGCAUAUCAUAGGUGUUUUGGAGGUAUUCGUCAGAUGUAAGCCAUUCAUAUCCCGUUUGAGGUGCCCGAACAUUGUAACCAGACAUGAAACAAAAACAACAAAAAAUUAAAAUUAAAAAUAAAAAUAAAAAUAAAAAUUAAAUGGCUGAAGUAAGAAAAAUUGCUCAAAUUUGAUAUUAGAAUAAAUAGAUAAUUUAGCCGUAUUCCCCGGCAACGGCGCCAAAAACUUGUUGGGAGCUAAAUACCUAACACGCAAGUGCACGUAUCGCAAACAAGUAGUAAAAGUGGACUCCUGAGAGUCGGAUGUCGAUCCCACAGGGAAUACGUAAAUUAUCUAAUCCUAAGUACCAAAUUCUAACAACUAUGAUUUUUAUCCAGCCUACGCAAGGUUGUCAAUUUAUUCAACUAAAUAAUUAAACUAAUUAUGAAAGCAAAUAAACACGAGAAAAUAUCAAUAUAAAACGGACCUAGGAUUUUAUCUUCCCCCUAUGCAAGAAUUGCUCACCCAAAACCCCUCAAUUAUGAAAUAUAUGAUUCAUGAUUAUUAACCCGAGACACAAAUUUACUCAUAACCCGCUGUCGCGUGUAUUAUGAGUCUAUUAUUCAUAAACGGUUCACUAUAUGUCUAUGCAAACAAAUUAUGAAUAAAGCAUUAACUAACAAGUCUCGUAAAUGGCUACCUAAGGUGAUAUCUGUAUGUCUACGAUACCACAUGCAAUUGACACACUCAUCCGGUGAAAACUACUCGAAGGUUCUUCUACUAACCGUCUAAUUAUCAAAAUAGCUCUGUCGAGUCAAUCCCAAUAAUCACAUAUAAAGCACAUAAAUUGAUCAAGUUCAUGCACUAACAAUCAUAACAAGUAGAAGAAAUAAUCAUAAAAUCAUAAUCUCAUAAUCUCAAGAAAACGGGUUCACCAUCCCCACAUAGGGUUCCAACAAAAUCCUAGAUUAAAAACUUAGCUACUCAUGACGAAAAACAUAAUAAACGUAAUAAAAGUCAUAGAUUAAGAAAAGAUAGGUGAAAGAAGAAUUAUGAUGAAGAUUUGUCAAUUCUCCGUCUUCGAUUCUUCGUUCUCUCGCUCCUCUCGCUCCAAGAUUGUGUCAAAAGUCUCAUGUGAUUCGUGCUUGGUUUGGGCUUAAAUAGUUGUCCCAACUUGGUAGAUGAUUCUAGGUUUCCUUGUGUGUUUAAAAGUCCAAAAUUGCCUCUAACGUGAUUUGGCACGGCCGCGCGAAAAUCAGUGCAAUUCUCGCACGGCCGCGCGAGAAUCGCCGAACCUUCUGCCCAAAUUCAGCAUUUGGCACGGCCGUGCCAAAAAUAGGCUAAUUUUGGCACGGCCGUGCGGGCCUGUUUUCAGCCAAUUUCAGCAUUUUUUGAUUAUUUCACUUUUGGCCCAUAUUUUCUCCAAAAUUGCAGUUUUUACCCCAAACUUUUCCAAUACUUCAAUUUGUACCUAGAAUACAAUAAAUCAACUUUUUAAGCACCAAUUAUCGUAAAUUCACACAAAAAGCUCAAAUAAAAAGAUACGAUAAAGUGUAAAAAUAUACACUUAACACACCCCCAAACUUGAUCUUUUGUUUGUCCUCAAGCAAAAACUAGGAACCUUCAAAUCAACACUUUCAACAAAUGCUUCUCUUCACAUAGAUUAAUGGUCAAUUUCAUGUUUUCAGAACUUGCAAUUAUCAUGACAAUUCUCAAAAAUUUACAAGCUCGUAAUUCAAAGAUACGUAUUCACUCACCAUUGCUAAAAACCACAAACCAUGCUAUCGCUUCAAGUAUCCCAUAUUUGUAAAUUAAAAAUUGAGAAAAUUUAUACUUACAUAUUAAUAUUCAACUCCAAAUACUCACCAAAUUUCUUUACUCGGCUAGUAUCAAAUAAUUGAGCUAUUGGGAUCAUUGGGACUUUUUUGCUUUCAAAUGUUGGGCUUUUUGGUUCAAGGUAGGAGAUAUGGGUAUAGGUGGCUAUGCUUCUUGAAUUGAGAUGAUUACGCCAAAUUUUGAUAGAUAGGCGUUUGAAACAAUGAAUUCACCUCUAAGGACUUUUAAUAAACUCGAUUCUUAAGAGUUCAAAAGUCUCCACUUUUGCUCUUAAGACAAUGGAUCGGGCUUUCAAAACAAUUCAACAACUAGUCCUUACUUCCCCUUCUAGUCUCUUCUUCUUCUUUUUCUUUCUCUUUUUUUAUUAUUAUUUUUUUAUUUUUUAUUUUUUAUUUUUUUCUCUUUUUUUUUUUUUUUUUUUUUUCCGAAGAAGAAGAAGGACCUUAUAAAAAAUUUCGACCGAACUCCAAGGGUUAAUUUUUAAAAAAUCUCCACUUAUUCUACCUUAUACACAUUGGCUAAAAGAAAGAACACCGUUUCUCCAAGGCUCAAUCAAGGUUCGACUGAUAAAAAUUUAAAGGUAGGCUUGAAAGGCUCAAACGGUUCAAAGAUGGCCCAAAUCACUUCCCAAAUUGCUCAACGAUUUAAUAUUUCACUUUGUAAAUUCAUAAGAUAAGUUCUAAAACCGAAUAGCAUAUGAUAUAACAUAAAUUAACUCAAAUUUUAAAACACAAAACUUUCAACCAAAGCAACGCAUAAUUCGAGAUUCCUAACAAUGACUCCUUCUUACGACACUUUGAAUCAAAA
This 4388-nucleotide long non-coding RNA is filed under the name Erythranthe guttata (spotted monkey flower). Its description in RNAcentral is "long non-coding RNA (EGUT_LNC000331)". The record is from RNAcentral. Lineage: Eukaryota; Viridiplantae; Streptophyta; Magnoliopsida; Lamiales; Phrymaceae.